UUUAUAUGAGAGUUUGAUCCUGGCUCAGGACGAACGCUGGCGGCGUGCCUAACACAUGCAAGUCGAACGGGAUCUACGCAGUAGUUUACUACAGUGUAGUGAGAGUGGCGGACGGGUGAGUAACGCGUGGGUAACCUGCCUUACGGAUGGGGAUAGCUCCGGGAAACCGGGAUUAAUACCGAAUGUAGUGAAGCGGUCGCAUGAUCGAAUCACAAAAGAUUUAUCGCCGUAAGAUGGACCCGCGUCCCAUUAGCUAGUUGGUGAGAUAACAGCUCACCAAGGCGACGAUGGGUA
RNAcentral lists this ribosomal RNA (294 nucleotides) under Eubacteriaceae bacterium. RNAcentral describes it as "partial 16S ribosomal RNA". It matches the Rfam family "Bacterial small subunit ribosomal RNA", at positions 1 to 285 of the family's 1533-position model. Lineage: Bacteria; Bacillati; Bacillota; Clostridia; Eubacteriales; Eubacteriaceae. The record is from RNAcentral.